CUGAAAGUGAAAAUCCAGUUUUCUUUUUUAGAAGGCAGAAGCUGGUUGUGUGGCUUUUCCUUCGGUUUCUAAGUGGCUUCUGCAUUUCUUGAGCAGUGCUCUGGUGGAGGUGUUUAUGAACUGAGAGCUGGAAAGGGUGCUCAGAUGGAUGGAGAAGGGAAGAGCAUAAAGGCAUCAACUUCAGAGGGAGAUGACUGAGGGAGGAGCCUGGUGAGCCUGCUGUGGGUUGGUGGAGGAUCUAGGAGAGCAUCAAGCACUGCUGGAGAUGAGCACCCAGGGCAACCUGGUGGAUUCUCCCCACUUUGUGUGGUUAUGUUUCCUGCUUCUGACCACUGUAGCUCCCUGUCCAAAUGUUGCCAUGCACAGUGACAACACUGCUGAGGGGCUGCAGGACUCUCCCAACACAAAGGUGACAGUCUACCACUGUGAGAUCAAUGUAUGUGAUUUAUCCAGUUUUGAAACCUGUGACAUAAUUGGUGAAACACAAAAUACUAAAUUUUCAAAUGAAAUAAUUCAGCUGCAGACCAAUGAAACACACAUCAUUAUGUGCUUUUGGCAAAAAAAUACAUUUCUUCAUGAGGUUUAUGCCAUCUUCUGGGAGAAGGACAUGCAACUGGGAUACGCAUGUGGCAUUCCAAAUUCUGGAGCUUCCUUCAGAUUAGUGAGGAGUGACAUUGCUAAAAUUUGCUGUAAAGCAGAGACAGACACCUCAGUGCUCCACAGCCCUCUGGAGUGCUACCCUCAAGUGUUAGAUGAGGAAAUCAGAGCUUCAACAAGUGACAUCACUGAUGAGGGAAAUCCAGGGAAUCUUCAGUUUGCAGACAGUGAAGAGAUGAGCAGCAUUGGCAUGAUCAGCAUCCUAGUCCCAGUUCUUGUGGGCUGUGCAGCAGCAGGGACACUGUAGUGCUUUCUACAGCACCACAACAACCAAAGACCUAUUGUAGUAUUCCAUCAGAUUCUUAAUGGGCAAGGAAUGGUCCCAUAGCAGAAGAGACAGGGUGGCUGCCCUAGGGACUUCACACUGCAGAUUUCCAAGCCCAAAUACAGGCAAUUGGGUUACAAUUCUCACUGAAGCCAAAGUUUGGUGUGCUCAGAGAUAUUUUCCUUCAAUUCUGCAGUUGUUAAAAAAAAUCAAAGGGUCUCUUGAUGCAAAAAAAACCCCCUUGCACUUAUUCAAAAAACAUCUAGAAGUAAGAAAACCAGCAGCAAAA
This is a long non-coding RNA of Calypte anna (Anna's hummingbird), 1211 nucleotides long. RefSeq lists it as uncharacterized. The transcript has 7 exons. NCBI's taxonomy places the organism in Eukaryota, Metazoa, Chordata, Aves, Apodiformes, Trochilidae. The record is from RefSeq and is a predicted model, not a curated record.